UACGGAGGGUGCAAGCGUUAUCCGGAUUCACUGGGUUUAAAGGGUGCGUAGGUGGCUUGGUAAGUCAGUGGUGAAAGCCCGGAGCUCAACUCCGGAACUGCCAUUGAUACUGCUUAGCUUGAAUCAGGUCGAGGUGGAUGGAAUAUUACAUGUAGCGGUGAAAUGCUUAGAUAUGUAAUAGAACACCGAUUGCGAAGGCAGUUCACUAGGCCUGUAUUGACGCUGAGGAGCGAAAGCAUGGGGAGCGAACAGG
RNAcentral lists this ribosomal RNA (253 nucleotides) under uncultured bacterium. RNAcentral's name for it is "partial 16S ribosomal RNA". It matches the Rfam family "Bacterial small subunit ribosomal RNA", at positions 524 to 776 of the family's 1533-position model. The record is from RNAcentral.